Molecule: unclassified non-coding RNA, 245 nt
Filed under: fungal sp.
Lineage: Eukaryota; Fungi
Description: partial internal transcribed spacer region
Rfam family: Eukaryotic small subunit ribosomal RNA (bases 1-46)
Source: RNAcentral
AAGUCGUAACAAGGUAACCGUAGGUGAACCUGCGGUUGGAUCAUUCCAUAAUAUCUUGAUGGACGCGGGGGGAAUUACAACAUUCUCCUACACGUCUUGACCCUUUGUGAAUAUGUAAUUGCAUUGAGAGUGUGUGCAUAUACACACACUCGAGACCUUUAUUCUUUUGUUACAAACCUUGAACAAUUUCAAAUUGACCACAAUCAAUUUUGAACAACUUUUGACAAUGGAUCUCUUGGUUCUCA